This 145-nucleotide unclassified non-coding RNA is filed under the name uncultured Helotiales. RNAcentral's name for it is "sequence contains ITS2". The record is from RNAcentral. Lineage: Eukaryota; Fungi; Ascomycota; Leotiomycetes; Helotiales.
CAACCCUCAAGCACUGCUUGGUAUUGGGCUCCGCUGGUUGCAGCGGGCCUUAAAAUCAGUGGCAGCGCCGUCUGAGCUCUGAGCGUAGUAAAUAUCCUCGCUAUAGAGACCAGGUGGCUCUCGUCAUCAACCCCCAACUUUCUAA